Long non-coding RNA from Theobroma cacao (cacao), 474 nucleotides. RefSeq lists it as uncharacterized. The record is from RefSeq and is a predicted model, not a curated record. Lineage: Eukaryota; Viridiplantae; Streptophyta; Magnoliopsida; Malvales; Malvaceae.
AUGACAUUUUUUCAUCUCCAUCUUCUUCCUCCCACACCGUUUCCAUACUUCCACCACAUUUUCACUUGACUCCCAUGCAAUUGAAGAGAAAAAUAGGGAGAAUCAGCUAAUGAAAGAAAUGAGAGAAAGGUGGAAGGCUUGAGUAGUAAGUGAUUCAAGAGUAAUUGAAGAAAUAUCAAGUGGGUCUCAAGAUUCAAGAAACAUAAGCUAUGAUGACCAUGGGUGUGAGAAAAUUAUGAAUUUUGUUAGGUGAAAUUCAAGCUAAAAUCAAGUGGUUUGAUGAGGUAAAGGUGACUGGUCCUAGGACAAGGUGCUCCUCCCUAUCCAUUGCUCGGUAGAUUUACCAUGACACUAAAUGUUAGCAACCGUGCCUAGAGUCACUACGCUAACGAUCAAUGUCUAAUUAUGUAUAUAUGAAUGCUUGAUGUGAAAUACUAAGACUCAUUUGUCAAGCUAUAUAUGUAUAUUAUCGUU